AGAACGAACGCUGGCGGCAUGCCUAAUACAUGCAAGUCGAACGAACACUUCGGUGUUAGUGGCGCACGGGUGCGUAACGCGUGGGAAUCUGCCCUUGGGUUCGGAAUAACAGUUGGAAACGACUGCUAAUACCGGAUGAUAUCGAAAGAUCAAAGAUUUAUCGCCCAGGGAUGAGCCCGCGUAGGAUUAGCUAGUUGGUGAGGUAAAGGCUCACCAAGGCGACGUAUCCUUAGCUGGUCUGAGAGGAUGAUCAGCCACACGUGGGACUGAGACACGGCCCAGACUCCGUACGGGAGGCAGCGAGUAGGGAAUA
This 313-nucleotide ribosomal RNA is filed under the name uncultured soil bacterium. Its description in RNAcentral is "bacterial SSU rRNA". It matches the Rfam family "Bacterial small subunit ribosomal RNA", at positions 26 to 363 of the family's 1533-position model. The record is from RNAcentral.